This 369-nucleotide unclassified non-coding RNA is filed under the name soil metagenome. Its description in RNAcentral is "partial contains 5.8S ribosomal RNA, internal transcribed spacer 2, and large subunit ribosomal RNA". The stretch from base 1 to 121 matches the Rfam family "5.8S ribosomal RNA", at positions 35 to 154 of the family's 154-position model. The record is from RNAcentral.
GAUGAAGAACGCAGCGAAAUGCGAUAAGUAAUGUGAAUUGCAGAAUUCCAGUGAGUCAUCGAAUCUUUGAACGCACAUUGCGCCCAUUGGUAUUCCGAUGGGCAUGCCUGUUCGAGCGUCAUUAUCAACCCUCAAGCCCCUUUGGCUUGGUGUUGGAGACUGGCGGGGCGCAUGCGCCCGGAGCCACUCCCAAAUACAAUGACGGCGGCCUCGUUGGACCCCCGGUACACUGAGUUCUUCACGGGACACGUAUCGGACACAUGGGUUUACGGGACACGGUCUGCCUCCCCUCAGGGAGAAUCUUUCUAAGGUUGACCUCGGAUCAGGUAGGGAUACCCGCUGAACUUAAGCAUAUCAAUAAGCGGAGGA